Molecule: non-coding RNA, 204 nt
Organism: Oryza glaberrima (African rice)
Lineage: Eukaryota; Viridiplantae; Streptophyta; Magnoliopsida; Poales; Poaceae
Source: Rfam
AAUAUAUGACGCCGUUGACUUUUUCUCACAUGUUUGACCAUUCGUCUUAUUCAAAAAUUUUAUGUAAUUAUAAUUUAUUUUGUUAUGAGUUGUUUUAUCACUUAUAAUACUUUAAGUGUGAUUUAUAUCUUAUACAUUUGCAUAAAAUUUUUGAAUAAGACGAAUGGUCAAAUAUGUGAGAAAAAAUCAACGGCGUCAUCUAUU